GAUGAACGCUGGCGGCGUGCCUAAUACAUGCAAGUCGAGCGAACAGACGAGGAGCUUGCUCCUCUGACGUUAGCGGCGGACGGGUGAGUAACACGUGGAUAACCUACCUAUAAGACUGGGAUAACUUCGGGAAACCGGAGCUAAUACCGGAUAAUAUAUUGAACCGCAUGGUUCAAUAGUGAAAGACGGUUUUGCUGUCACUUAUAGAUGGAUCCGCGCCGCAUUAGCUAGUUGGUAAGGUAACGGCUUACCAAGGCGACGAUGCGUAGCCGACCUGAGAGGGUGAUCGGCCACACUGGAACUGAGACACGGUCCAGACUCCUACGGGAUGCAGCAGUAGGGAAUCUUCCGCAAUGGGCGAAAGCUUGACGGAGCAACGCCGCGUGAGUGAUGAAGGUCUUCGGAUCGUAAAACUCUGUUAUUAGGGAAGAACAAAUGUGUAAGUAACUAUGCACGUCUUGACGGUACCUAAUCAGAAAGCCACGGCUAACUACGUG
RNAcentral lists this ribosomal RNA (497 nucleotides) under uncultured bacterium. RNAcentral describes it as "partial 16S ribosomal RNA". It matches the Rfam family "Bacterial small subunit ribosomal RNA", at positions 28 to 507 of the family's 1533-position model. The record is from RNAcentral.